This is a long non-coding RNA of Dipodomys ordii (Ord's kangaroo rat), 744 nucleotides long. RefSeq lists it as uncharacterized. The transcript has 3 exons. Lineage: Eukaryota; Metazoa; Chordata; Mammalia; Rodentia; Heteromyidae. The record is from RefSeq and is a predicted model, not a curated record.
UCCGGGUGCUGGGAAGGACCCGAACAAAACAACUUCCGGCAGGGGAAGUAAAUCCCUGCCACUUCAAACAUCGCAGAAAGGAGCUGGGAAGGCGGAAAUCGUAAGAACUUCACGAAUGGGUCUUCCGCUGCUACAAACACGGAACGUACCAGCCUCUGCGAGAUUCCGACUUGAGCAGAGCCACUGCCCGCCGUCUUCCUGCCCCUCAUGUCGAUCGCUUGUGCCCGUGCUGCACGGAAAGGUGGUAGAGUAAGAAUUCCGCACGUGGAGCCCACGGGGAGGCCCCUGAAGCUGAGAGGACAGUAGAGGCUGCCUGAUACUGACGGGGAAGAAGGAAACGGGGAAAAUAACUGUCAUGUUGGAGAUAAAGACUCCCUAAAGACACAGAUAUCUCCACGCACGGUUGGUUCCAAAAACGAUUUUUAUUUUAAAAUAACAUUUACAAUUUUCAAAACUUUGUUCUACUAAACAAGAACUAAAAAUACAUUUUGCUAAGAAAUAUUUUACACUUAAGUAUCACUGAGGAUCUAGGAGUACGGAAGCGCUGAGCAGGAGCGCGUCUCGGCCUGAUCCCAGAAUUGAGCUGGAGUCAGGCCUGUGCUCCGCGCCUGCUCCGGGCUGUUUAUUUUUCACUUUUAUUGUCCAGGACCACAAAGUUCGUCAGAAAUCUGCUCACGAUUCUUGGUCUCCUUCCUUUUUUUAUUAUGUAAACGAAAAUUUACAAAUGCCUUGGCACUAAUAGUU